Molecule: ribosomal RNA, 402 nt
Filed under: uncultured Butyrivibrio sp.
Lineage: Bacteria; Bacillati; Bacillota; Clostridia; Lachnospirales; Lachnospiraceae
Description: bacterial SSU rRNA
Rfam family: Bacterial small subunit ribosomal RNA
Source: RNAcentral
CCUACGGGGGGCUGCAGUGGGGAAUAUUGGACAAUGGGCGGAAGCCUGAUCCAGCAACGCCGCGUGAGGGAUGACGGCCUUCGGGUUGUAAACCUCUUUCAGCACAGACGAAGCGCAAGUGACGGUAUGUGCAGAAGAAGGACCGGCCAACUACGUGCCAGCAGCCGCGGUAAUACGUAGGGUCCGAGCGUUGUCCGGAAUUAUUGGGCGUAAAGGGCUCGUAGGCGGUUUGUCGCGUCGGGAGUUAAAACGCCGUGCUUAACACGGUGCUUGCUUUCGAUACGGGCAGACUUGAGGCAUGCAGGGGAGAAUGGAAUUCCUGGUGUAGCGGUGAAAUGCGCAGAUAUCAUGAGGAACACCGGUGGCGAAGGCGGUUCUCUGGGCAUGUCCUGACGCUGAGGA